Molecule: unclassified non-coding RNA, 3207 nt
Filed under: Diabrotica virgifera virgifera (western corn rootworm)
Lineage: Eukaryota; Metazoa; Arthropoda; Insecta; Coleoptera; Chrysomelidae
Description: zinc finger protein 664
Source: RNAcentral
AUUUUAAGCGUUAUCCGUUAUCCCAGGAAAUUGCUAUUUUACUUAUUUUUUUAUAGUUUUUAUCACCAAUUAAAUAAAUUUAUUAUUUUCAAUAUUUCAAUGUCAGUGUACUAAUGACCUAAGGCCACUAAGGGGGUAAAGUUAAUUUUUAAUUUGUUAGCUAUGGAAUUUCACAUCAAGAUUAAGGAAGAGUAUGUUGAAUAUGACCAAAGACUUAUGCAGAGUCAGCUAUCCACAUCAACAGAUCUUGGAAACGUGAAAAAUGAAGCAGAAAAUAACACAGAUGUGGAGGUAAAAACGGACAUUAAGGAAGAAUUUGUUGAAGGUGACUCCAGCCAUAGAGCCAUAGAGAGUCAGCUAAGUACAUCCAUAGAUCUUGGAGUCCUAAAGAAUGAAUCAGAUGAGUUUAACUCAGGUUUUACUCAGGACAACAAAACGAAAAUUAUGGAGACUUCUUUUGAACAAUUAUCUCAUAAAGGACACUAUAUGAGUUAUGUUGAAGGGGAAACCGUAAAUAAAAAUAUAAAAGUUGCGACCAGACAGCGACCUUACACUUGUGAAAUUUGUUUCAAACAGAUUUGUCGACCAUGUGAUUUAAAACAACAUAUGAGAGUACACACUGGAGAAAAACCUUACAAGUGUGAAAUUUGUUUUAAGCAGUUUACAAAGAAAAGUACUUUGAAUGUACAUUAUAGGAUACACACUGGAGAAAAACCUCAUAAGUGUGAAAUUUGUCUAAAGCAGUUUGCUACAGCAAGUGAUUUGAAAAAACAUUUGAGAGUGCACACUGGAGAAAAACCUCACAAGUGUGAAAUUUGUUUUAAGCAGUUUGCUACAGCCAAUCAUUUGAAAAUACAUUUGAGAGUGCACACUGGAGAAAAACCUUACAAGUGUGAAAUUUGUUUUAAGCAGUUUCCUACAGCCUAUCAUUUGAAAAUACAUUUGAGAGUGCACACUGGAGAAAAACCUCACAAGUGUGAAAUUUGUUUCAAAGAGUUUUCUCGGACAGAUACUUUGAAACUGCACAUAAGAUUGCACACUGGAGAAACACCUUACAAGUGUGAAAUUUGUUUAAAGCAGUUUCCUACAGCCAAUCAUUUGAAAAUACAUUUGAGAGUGCACACUGAAGAAAAACCUCACCACAAGUGUGAAAUUUGUUUCAAACAUUUUACAAGGAAAAGUUAUUUGAAAAUACAUUUGCGAGUGCACACUGGAGAAAAACCUUACAAGUGUGAAAUUUGUUGUAAGCAGUUUCCUACAGCCAAUCAUUUGAAAAUACAUUUGAGAGUGCACACUGAAGAAAAACCUCACUACAAGUGUGAAAUUUGUUUCAAACAUUUUACAAGGAAAAGUUCUUUGAAAAUACAUUUGCGAGUGCACACUGGAGAAAAACCUCACAAGUGUGAAAUUUGUCUAAAGCGGUUUGCUACAGCAAGUGAUUUGAAAAAACAUUUGAGAGUGCACACUGGAGAAAAACCUCACAAGUGUGAAAUUUGUUUUAAGCAGUUUUCUCAACACGUUCAAUUGAAAAAACAUGUGAUACAACCCACCGGAGAAAAACGCUACAAUUAAACAGUUUUCUUGAUCAAAGUAAUGUUAAGCCAGUUUCCCCCAUCCUAGAGAUAACUAACCAGUCUUUUAGAGAACGACUCGAGAAGGAGAUAUCUGCAUAACAUCUCGAAAGGGUCCCCGCUCUGUUUCUUUCCAUCCAGUACAUUCACGGGAAAACCAGCCAACGGGAUAUAAAUUAAAUUACUCGUCAAAAGUUAGGGAUAUGGAAUAUUAUGCUCAUUUUCAUAGUUGAUUUUUGUCGUGAACAGAUUAACGGAUUUUCUUUUGUUUUGAGAACAUUUUCUUUUUUGAACGUCCUUGAUAUCUUUAGAAACAAAGAAGAUAGGUGGUUUUACUCUUUAGCAGGUGUUUUAACUGAAACAAAACUAAAUUAACAAUAAAAAAUAACCGUUAACAAAACUUUAAAAACAGAAAGGCACAAAAGGUAAACAAUUCUUAUCGACACAUAAGAGUUAUUUGUCGACGAGGUAAGCGGUAUGUACAGCGUAAUAUAAGAGAGAGGAGAUUGUUUAAUGGGGGCCCUGUGAUGUUUGGGGGCGGAAUUUCCUUGAGAAUAAGUAUGGAUUUGGUGUCUACGUGGAAGCUCUUUAAAUAGCGAGAGGUGCAUUACACAAAUUUUCAACGAAAACUUUUCGUUUAUAAAUUUGCAAAAGUCUGUGUUAUUGCGUUGCCACUCCUGCAAUACUUAGAGCAGGUGUAUCGAUGGAUUCCUAUGUAGUUUUGCCUUCUGAAUCCAAAUCUGAAAGCGGCAUUUCGAUAUAUCUAACCGUCUUCGAGAUAAUCGACCUCAAAGUCUAAAAUGUGACGUCACAAUCCGGUUAUCUCCUACAGACGCACUAAACGUCAGCUCAAAUGGUUGAUUAGGAAGUAGGCUACUUUUUUUUUAAUCUCGAUUUGCCAAGCAUAGGUUAUUUAUAUUUGAGUUUGACACUUCGUGAAUGUCAAACUAAAUUUUAAAUUAAGUAUUAAUAAAACAUCAAUGACAUUUAAUAGUGAAUUUAAUUAUUAUAUAAAAUAAAUAAGAUGUUCAAAAAUACAAUUUGAGUAUAAAUAUUUUAAAAGCAAUAGUUUAUUAACAGUUUUAAAAAGGUUUAUACCAGUAUAAAUACGGCCUCCCCUUUAUGAUAAAUGGACUGUUCCAUUUGCUAUAAAAUUCAAAUAUUAUGUAUACCUAGUCGUUCCCUAAACUCGACACAACUGGCUAGUGAUUGUAGAAGGUAAUUUUUUUGUUUUUUGAGAAUUUUGCCGAAAUUGGCAAAAUUACUAAUUAUUUAGUAAUAAUUAUUAACUAUUUAGAAUUUAUUUUUUUGUCGAAUUGGCAAAAUUAUUGACUAAAAUCACUAGCCAGUAUUAUGUCUGUGUACAUCCUUCUAAUGGAAAAAAAUAUUUGAAGAUUUUUCUCAAAUUAUGGAUACCAAGAACAUUUUCAUUUAUAACUCUUUUAUUUUUAAUUUGACAAAUAAAAGUUAUUCUUCAUAAAAAGCUCUUCUUGUUCUAAGAUUUAUGAUGCAACCGUGUCCCAAAAGUAGGGGAACGGUCGAAUAUUUCGCGAACUAAACAUCAGAUGGAAAAACUGAAAAAUACGUGUUCAAUCAUUUUCAAAAAUCUAUCUCCAAAUUGGAGACUCCAAUGACA